UGAGACGUGGGCACUGAGCAG
RNAcentral lists this unclassified non-coding RNA (21 nucleotides) under Mus musculus (house mouse). Its description in RNAcentral is "oocyte_clustered_small_RNA1386". Lineage: Eukaryota; Metazoa; Chordata; Mammalia; Rodentia; Muridae. The record is from RNAcentral.